RNA transcript from Malaclemys terrapin pileata, 1021 nucleotides. It is a transcript of the gene named PPE family protein PPE10-like, with no coding region annotated. Lineage: Eukaryota; Metazoa; Chordata; Testudines; Emydidae. The record is from RefSeq and is a predicted model, not a curated record. The transcript is spliced from 18 exons.
CGUUGCCAUCUCCCACCGAGUGUGCCAGACCAGAAACAACUCCGCUCCAGAGAGAGUAAAGACGCAAAGAUGAAGGUGUCGUACGUGGCUGCUUUCCUCAUAGGGCUCCUCUCCCUGGCGAGCACCAGAGCAGCUCCAUUGAAAAACCAGUUGUGGUCCGUGGUCUCUGGUAGCGUAGACACCGGCAACGUGGGCGAUGGCAGUUUUGACGACAACAGUCAAAACAACCAAUUCUGGUCAGUGGAAUCUGGUAGCGUAGACACCGGCAACGUGGGUGACGGCAGCUUUGACGACAACAGCCAAAACAACCAAUUCUGGUCAGUGGAAUCUGGUAGUGUAAACACCGGCAACGUGGGUGACGGCAGCUUUGACGACAACAGCCAAAACAACCAAUUCUGGUCGGUGGACUCCGGUAGUGUAGACACCGGCAACGUGGGCGCCGGCAGCUUUGACGACAACAGCCAAAACAACCAAUUCUGGUCAGUGGAAUCUGGUAGCGUAAAGACCGGCAACGUGGGUGAUGGCAGCUUUGACGACAACAGCCAAAACAACCAAUUCUGGUCAGUGGACUCCGGUAGUGUAGACACCGGCAACGUGGGCGCCGGCAGCUUUGACGACAAGAGCCAAAACAACCAAUUCUGGUCAGUGGUCUCUGGUAGCGUGGACACCGGCAACGUGGGCGACGGCAGCUUUGACGACAACAGCCAAAACAACCAAUUCCAGCCAGUGAAAGGAUGUUGAGAUCAUUGGAGAGGGUUUCGAGAAGAGCCCUGGGAUGGAUUCAACGCCUGGAAAAAAAAGCAUCUCAAGUACUAGGCUCCCAGAAACCCUCCACGAGAACGGCCCUGAUGCUUUCUGUCCCGUGCUCUCACCCAUCUCAGCCUGAACAUGAAUAACACGGCACGCUGCGGUGGAAUUUGCUUUUGCCUUGUUCAAUGAUUUGACUGUAGGGUGCAGUUCUUACCCUUUUGUUGCCCCUCAGAUGCCUCUGCAAUAAUGCAAAUAAAUCUGUUUCCACUCA